UUUAGGGAAAGUGAAGGGUGAAAAAAGAACGAGAUUCUUGAAUUUCUUAUUCAAAAUGAGUCUGAUGUGGAUGUACGAAAAUGUCUAAAUCAUGAAGGACUGAAGUAGACCACUGGCUUUUAUUUCUAAAAAAGUUUAUGAUUAGUUUUUCCAAACACGUGUUGGGUAUGGUUAUAGUUAUUUUACAAGACACGGAAAAUUUUUUUGUCAGGAGAAUGUGCUGUAAUUCGUUUUGUGAACACGUGUGUCAUGUAAAAAGUCAGCAUGUCUACACCUGUUGAUUCAAAUCCUGAAGCAGUCAUCCCUGAUGAUUUAGUCAUACACUUUCAUUACAAGUAAUGUAACACAAAUUGGUCAUCUCAGCAAUUUAAGCCCUAAUUCUUCAUCGGUCAUUAGACUGGUGCAGGCAAAUUGGGUUUCUCACUCAUAUCAACGAUCUUACAACAAACCAUGGUGUGAAAACAUAAAAGAAACUUGUUCGGUUGUGUGUUGCUCAUCAGCAUACGUCCGAACUACUAUUCAACAACGAAAUGGGAUGCAUCGACGGCCGCUCGUCGAUUUACUGGUUGGGGCAGUUUAGCCUAUGGCAAUAAAUGCUUCUGUUGUGCUUGCCGUUGGAUGAAAUCGAUUGAUACGCCGCUGUCGUGACAAUGGAAACUCUGACUAUCGUUGCCGAAAUCUCGUCUGAACACGCAACACUAAAACUCCGUUCGAGGUAGAUUUACCUGGGUGAUCUUGGCGAAUGUGCUUGAAAAUCAAUUGAUCCUCCUCCUCGGAAUCGACGCUCAAUAGAGUCAUGUUUCCACCUCUGCAAAACGCAUCCGCCCUACUCCAAUCGGGACGCUUCAGUAUUUGACGAUGGAAAAACAAUAACACUUGCUUCCCAAGUUCCAGCAAGGCAUGCUCAUGUUGCCUUGUAGAAACUCUGGACAAUAUUCUAACAAUAACAAUCAACAAUGGGAUGUAUUCAUGCCCUUGGACUAUGGAUUCUUGGCUGAGUGAAGCUCAUUUUAUUAUGGCUGGCCCAACAGGCGGCAAUCGUGGUGGCCAGCAGAGUUAACUUGAAGGAACUGCUCUUCAUUUUGCCGUGCGUGUCAGUUCUAACUACGAAUGUGUUUAGAACUCCUAAAAAUUGUGGAGCGGACGUGUUUUGUGAGUGAUUUCUUUACAAGUUCGCCAUCUUCCCAGAUGUUUUUGGCCAUCACAUCAUAUCUCAUCUAUUCAAUCCCAGAAGAAUUAAGGAAAUCAACAUUUUUUGUUAUCGAAUCACAAAGAAAGGCGGUAAUUUAAUGAUGUCCGAAAAAGGUAUGGAGAAAACGGGAUAAUGACUCAGGUGCCUCGAUGGGCGAUAUCCAACUCGUUACAGUGGCUGAUUUGAUGUUCACCACUAAAAUAAUAGAAUAUUUUUCAUUCUACUUGUGGAAUCAAAGGAAUUCAAAAUUUCUACUGGAGAAAAACAAAUGGCCUGCCAUGCGCUCGACGACAAUGAUCUCCUUAAUUGGUGAAAUCAAAUGAAUUCAAAGCUUAAAAUGGUCAACAAGAAAACGUCAAAAUCAACAAAACGGAGAAAAUAUUUCACUUCGCUACACGAUUAACCAACCCGAGAAAAAUAAACAGGAUUAUGAUCCGUUGCGCUACAAGGCUCAUAACCACAAAUUGAGAAAGUGGAAUUUCACUGCUUCAUUCCUUCAUCAAAGGAGGAUUUGAUUCCACUCAACACAACAUGUUUAAUGAUUAAGAGUUGGUCUCUUGUUCGAAAUGGUCUUGUCCUCUCACUAGCGUCCAACAUCACGUUUAUAUCGAUGACUUAGCCAAAUUCACGUACUAUAUUAUGUAAAAAAACAUUACUAUUGGGGUUCCACAUAAUUUUGGUUUUCUUCUUCUGCCUUCAAGUUUCAUCAUUACAGGAAACAACUGGAUUGUCCCAUGGCCUCUGUAAUCGUUCAUCAGAUUAGUAUGAUGCGCCCUGAUCAUCCGGAUUGCAUAUGUAACUCAACCUCAAGAUUGUCAUUGAUACUUGCGGAAUUCGCAGCCACCAGAGCUUCUGAGGAUUUGCUCAAAUGCCUUUAAUCAACUACGUAAAAAUUGUUCUUUUAGAACAGGACUAUCGGUUGUGUUGAAACUGAAACCAUCAAAACUUCAAGUCACCGACAUGCUUUGCAUACAGUGACCAAGUGUCAGCCCCUCUCGUUUUGAUGGGAUUUAUUUGUGUUGAUCAGAUGUAGGAACUAAUAAAGUCCAUGGCUAUGUAUCACUGAGGAACGGUUGAAGACUCCUGCCAACCUUCAAGAAUUGAACCUCCAGGUUAAAUGAAAUCCUCGAUCUGAACAUAAUCUUCGAUGUUAUUUCCUGGACAUGUUCGCUUGUUAUCAAGCGGAUUUAUCGUUCAAUUCCAGGGCUAUGAGGGUUGAAUAUGUUACUACCGCCAAAGGAAAUAAUGAAAAUGUUCACAUCGGAGUCCACAGCUGCCGUUUGGAAUUCGCUGAAUCGGAAAGAUGAAGUAGAAAACCUUUUUUGGAAACUCGUGGACAGGAUUUGCCGACAUAAAAUCCUACCACCCUAUCAAAAAUCUAUUAACUUGUUAUCUUUUGGUGGCUGGGCGAAUUGAGCAGAUUUUGGGUAGCUUAGGUUUUUCAGCAGAUUCGACUAUAAGCUUUAUUUUCUCGAUAUUGUGCUGAUAUUAUGCAAUUUCAUUAUAUUAUUCAUCAUCGGUUGAUAACAAGUAGGUACAUUUUCAAUGGGAUCUCGUGGCGGUGGCGAUUCUGCCCGUGCAGCAACAACCAACAAAAUCAUUGUAACGAGGCCCGACGGUCUUGCACUACGUGUCGGAUUUAAGCGACGAUAUUCGUUGUCAGAACAGCAGUGACGUCAAUCGCGAAUCGUUUUGUUCCAAUAGUGACAGUCAGCCAUUGAUUUCCCUUCAGCAACAGCAUCAUCAUCAUCACAAUACGGCCAUCUUCACCACCAAUUAAGCAGCCAAAGCCAGCCUCACGAUCUUCCUACCACCAUCAGCUGCGCAUUCAAUGCGCCGCAAUGGAGGACAUUGGCAUCCAAGUUUAAACCAAUUUCACACUGCAUCCUAACAUUCAUAUACGUCACCCAUCCCCAUGGAGUUUGAAGGGGUGCCGUGAUAUUACGCUGAUCGAUACAGCCAGCGAACAGCCAGGAGCCGCGCUCGAACAUGUACUCGUAUGAACAAGAGACGGGCCUGACUGCCCUCAACUUGAAGAACGGUGAGCACAUAUUUGUGGGUAGCGGUCUGGUUUGGAACAGCAACGGAGUUCUGCCGUUCACUUCGCGGAUUGCUGAAAAUGUUUGCAAAAAGACGAGAAGAUGAAAGAAAAUAAUGAUUAAAAAUUAAGGAAAGAAUGUGUUGGUUAUGAGUUGAUUACCCCUGAAAAGACUUUAUUUGCGCAUGUGAGUAAUCAGAGGCGAAAAGGAGAAUUUUUCUCUUUUUCUUACUUUUUCCAUUGGAAAGUGGGAAAGAAACAAAGAAAGAAAACACAUUUAGAGUUGACCGACGGGUUUUUUUAGUCAAAUUUUAUGUAUAAAUAAUUGUAUGUUAAAUUGUAUAUUUAUGUGUGUCUAGAAAAGCAGAAUGUAUCAUCCGUCGCCCCCUAAAUCUUCUCCUUUCCAAUUGAUUUGAUUAUCCCGUUUUGUAAUUGUGUCUGCUCCUGUCUACUACAAUUAUGUCGAUGAAGAAAUAGUACAGGCUGACCCUACGUGCAACGAAAGUUUUAGCCACAAAUGUUAAUUGCCUCGUCUUGCAACUAGUAGUUGAUAUGCUAGGUUUUUACAUUGAAAAUUGGAAUCAACUGUUAGAGUUCCAGGCGGAAAAAAUAGAUUUCGUUAUCCCUGGCAGGCGGAGGGCGCUAACAUCUGCUAACGUCAAAAUUGUCUAUUCCCUUCCGGCAGCUCUCCACGCACCACGUACCAAAGUAGACAGGAUCCCACAAUGUCCUGGUACUAAAUCGAAAGAAAAAUUCUAAAAGGACUGCACUGCAUUAAGUAGAUGUAUCAGCAAAAAUUUAUUACUAACUUGUGUUUUUUCUUCUAUGUUGACUACAAAUCAUUUGGAAUUAGAAUAGGAUUUUGACUGGCGCUGGGUGCCAAACAUGGAUGGUAAUUGGAAGUGCGAUUGGAAAUAUCCAUGAUUUAUUAACGUUGUCUCAUGUUACGGUAUUUUACUAAAGACAAAUUGAAAUGCA
Molecule: long non-coding RNA, 4208 nt
Filed under: Daphnia magna
Lineage: Eukaryota; Metazoa; Arthropoda; Branchiopoda; Diplostraca; Daphniidae
Description: uncharacterized LOC116925469, transcript variant X1
Source: RNAcentral